UACGAAGGUCCCGAGCGUUAUUCGGAAUCACUGGGCGUAAAGAGUAUGUAGGCGGCGUGGAAAGUCAGAUGUGAAAUCCUGGGGCUCAACCUCAGAACUGCAUCCGAUACUCCCACGCUAGAGUAAUGGAGGGGAGUCUGGAAUUCACGGUGUAGCAGUGAAAUGCGUGGAUAUCGUGAGGAACACUAGUGGCGAAGGCG
This 200-nucleotide ribosomal RNA is filed under the name uncultured bacterium. RNAcentral describes it as "partial 16S ribosomal RNA". It matches the Rfam family "Bacterial small subunit ribosomal RNA", at positions 524 to 723 of the family's 1533-position model. The record is from RNAcentral.